This 253-nucleotide ribosomal RNA is filed under the name uncultured bacterium. RNAcentral describes it as "partial 16S ribosomal RNA". It matches the Rfam family "Bacterial small subunit ribosomal RNA", at positions 524 to 776 of the family's 1533-position model. The record is from RNAcentral.
UACGUAGGUGGCAAGCGUUGUCCGGAUUUACUGGGCGUAAAGAGCGCGCAGGCGGUCGUUCACGUCGUGUGUGAAAGCCCCCGGCUCAACUGGGGAGGGUCACGCGAUACUGAUCGACUCGAAGGCAGGAGAGGGUAGUGGAAUUCCCGGUGUAGUGGUGAAAUGCGUAGAUAUCGGGAGGAACACCAGUGGCGAAGGCGACUACCUGGCCUGUUCUUGACGCUGAGGAGCGAAAGCUAGGGGAGCAAACGGG